This 121-nucleotide long non-coding RNA is filed under the name Mustela putorius furo (domestic ferret). RNAcentral describes it as "lncRNA (ENSMPUG00000024183.1)". The record is from RNAcentral. Lineage: Eukaryota; Metazoa; Chordata; Mammalia; Carnivora; Mustelidae.
GGGAGAGCAGUGUGUGUUGGCAAGCAGGACUGAGUUGAGGAAUGUCCAGGUGCUUGGUUGGCUCAGUUGGUGGAGCAUGCAACUCUUGAUCUUGGGGUUGUAAGUUCAAGCCCCACAUCUG